This 253-nucleotide ribosomal RNA is filed under the name uncultured bacterium. Its description in RNAcentral is "partial 16S ribosomal RNA". It matches the Rfam family "Bacterial small subunit ribosomal RNA", at positions 524 to 776 of the family's 1533-position model. The record is from RNAcentral.
UACGGAGGGUGCAAGCGUUAUCCGGAUUCACUGGGUUUAAAGGGUGCGUAGGUGGGCUGGUAAGUCAGUGGGGAAAUCUCCAGGCUUAACUUGGAAACUGCCAUUGAUACUAUCAGUCUUGAAUACCGUGGAGGUCAGCGGAAUAUGUCAUGUAGCGGUGAAAUGCUUAGAUAUGACAUAGAACACCAAUUGCGAAGGCAGCUGGCUACACGAAUAUUGACACUGAUGCACGAAAGCGUGGGGAUCAAACAGG